This is an RNA transcript of Notolabrus celidotus (New Zealand spotty), 1176 nucleotides long. It is a transcript of the gene named troponin T, skeletal muscle, with no coding region annotated. The transcript is spliced from 3 exons. The record is from RefSeq and is a predicted model, not a curated record. Lineage: Eukaryota; Metazoa; Chordata; Actinopteri; Labriformes; Labridae.
AUAGCUCCAACAGACACACAAACACACAAUGUAGGAAUGUUAUUCACCCCUGCUAGACCUUUCAGGACCUUUCAAAACAAAGCCUGGGUCAGCAGUUAUUGUGCCCAGUGCCCAGCAGCACACAGUCUCCUGCAUCCUGUUUACAUCUCUGCCAACGCCACCCUCCACCUGCUGGGACGGAUCCUUGCUGCUCCACCUGGGACCUGUUCUGAACGAGCCCCCCAGAAUCUUAAACACCAAGAGUGGUAUUUAUCCAGCGGUGGAAGUGAAGUCCUCUGGGUUUUUAAAGAUCUUGUGGACAGGAUUGUUAAGAGUUAAGAUGUCCAUAAAGAGACGGCUGUUGUCCAUGUUGUUAUGCUGUGUUUACUGUGUGGCCUCGCUCUUCUGCCUCCACCCCAACCGGAACAGCUGCUUCUCUGCUGGAGCACGGAACAUGGCAUCUGUCUUUCAGCAGCUUUCCCAGCGUGUCCUUCGAAUGCUGCGCACCACUCUCUGAUCCACAAAGUCUCCUGCAGGUUUCAACCAGUGACUCCUGGAGGCUGUCCUGCUGCUGCGGACACUGCUGCUGUUUUUAAGCAUGCCUUCCAGAAGCACAUCACCAAUAAGAGAGAAGAAGAAGAAGAAGAAGAAGAAGAAGAAGAAGAAGAAGAAGAAGAAGAAGAAGAAGAAGAAGAAGGAGAAACAGAGGAGGAAGAGGGGUACUGACACUCCAUAUUGGACUGAAUUGUAGUUUUUAAGGGGCUGAAGCUGACCUGUUUGGUUCAGCGCUACAUUUUUUAGUAUAUUUGAGACAAGAUGAAGAGACGUUUUAAUUAAAAUGUUUAUUUUUUUACUGACAUGGAUUCACAUGCUGAGUGUCUUAUUUUGAACCUAUUUAGGAGGGCUCCACCGCGUGGUUGGCGGCUGUAAAUUCCUGGCAGUGUAUUUGAAUUAAGAAAAGGUGCAAUUAACAGGCUGUAGCCCCUUUAGGUAUCUGCUGGUUUGAAUAAAAACAUGUGUUUGUAAAACUGAAAAUAAAAAUAAGUGGAAAUGAUGAUGUGAUAAUGAUUCGCUUAGUGACAGAAACUGACUACAUAAUUUUUUUAUGAAAUGACUGAAUGUGCAGCUUCAACCCAUCCGCUGGAAGGACAAUACUGGAAACUGAUUUUACUUUAUUGAGAUGUUUGCUUUAAUAAA